Molecule: ribosomal RNA, 253 nt
Filed under: uncultured bacterium
Lineage: Bacteria
Description: partial 16S ribosomal RNA
Rfam family: Bacterial small subunit ribosomal RNA
Source: RNAcentral
UACGGAGGGUGCAAGCGUUAUCCGGAUUCACUGGGUUUAAAGGGUGCGUAGGUGGGCAGGUAAGUCAGUGGUGAAAUCUCCGGGCUUAACUCGGAAACUGCCAUUGAUACUAUCUGUCUUGAAUACCGUGGAGGUUAGCGGAAUAUGUCAUGUAGCGGUGAAAUGCUUAGAUAUGACAUAGAACACCAAUUGCGAAGGCAGCUUGCUACAGGGAUAUUGACACUGAGGCACGAAAGCGUGGGGAUCAAACAGG